UUCCGUAGGUGAACCUGCGGAGGGAUCAUUACACAAAUAUGAAGGCGGGCUGGAACCUCUCGGGGUUACAGCCUUGCUGAAUUAUUCACCCUUGUCUUUUGCGUACUUCUUGUUUCCUUGGUGGGUUCGCCCACCACUAGGACAAACAUAAACCUUUUGUAAUUGCAAUCAGCGUCAGUAACAAAUUAAUAAUUACAACUUUCAACAACGGAUCUCUUGGUUCUGGCAUCGAUGAAGAACGCAGCGAAAUGCGAUAAGUAGUGUGAAUUGCAGAAUUCAGUGAAUCAUCGAAUCUUUGAACGCACAUUGCGCCCUUUGGUAUUCCAAAGGGCAUGCCUGUUCGAGCGUCAUUUGUACCCUCAAGCUUUGCUUGGUGUUGGGCGUCUUGUCUCUAGCUUUGCUGGAGACUCGCCUUAAAGUAAUUGGCAGCCGGCCUACUGGUUUCGGAGCGCAGCACAAGUCGCACUCUCUAUCAGCAAAGGUCUAGCAUCCAUUAAGCCUUUUUUUCAACUUUUGACCUCGGAUCAGGUAGGGAUACCGCAUAUCAAUAAGCGGAGGAAAGAGGA
This 566-nucleotide ribosomal RNA is filed under the name Alternaria sp. 40a2-3. Its description in RNAcentral is "eukaryotic LSU rRNA". The stretch from base 197 to 350 matches the Rfam family "5.8S ribosomal RNA". The record is from RNAcentral. Lineage: Eukaryota; Fungi; Ascomycota; Dothideomycetes; Pleosporales; Pleosporaceae.